AUACUUACCUGGCAGGGGAGAUACCUUGAUCACGAAGGAGGUUUUCCCAGGGUGAGGCUCAUCCAUUGCACUCCGGGUGUGCUGACCCCUGCGAUUUCCCCAAAUGCGGGAAACUCGACUGCAUAAUUUGUGAUAGUGGGGGACUGCGUUCGCGCUUUCCCCUG
Molecule: small nuclear RNA, 164 nt
Filed under: Pseudonaja textilis
Lineage: Eukaryota; Metazoa; Chordata; Lepidosauria; Squamata; Elapidae
Description: U1 spliceosomal RNA (ENSPTXG00000004412.1)
Rfam family: U1 spliceosomal RNA
About the family: U1 is a small nuclear RNA (snRNA) component of the spliceosome (involved in pre-mRNA splicing). Its 5' end forms complementary base pairs with the 5' splice junction, thus defining the 5' donor site of an intron.
Source: Rfam by way of RNAcentral